GGGGGUAUAGCUCAGUGGCAGAGCAUUUGACUGCAGAUCAAGAGCUCCCCAGUUCAACUCUGGAUGCCCCCUUA
Molecule: transfer RNA, 74 nt
Filed under: Merluccius polli (Benguela hake)
Lineage: Eukaryota; Metazoa; Chordata; Actinopteri; Gadiformes; Merlucciidae
Description: tRNA-Cys
Rfam family: tRNA
About the family: Transfer RNA (tRNA) molecules are approximately 80 nucleotides in length. Their secondary structure includes four short double-helical elements and three loops (D, anti-codon, and T loops).
Source: RNAcentral